GUACAAUUUGUGUACACGCUUCUACUUCUUCUCAGGAAGUAAGAAUCCUUCUGAUACCUUUGCGCUGGUUCAGUGCAGGCUUUACCUUUGACUUCAUUUGCUGCGGUCUCUGAGAAAAUGACCAAUGGACCGAUGUGUCCUAAAAUGGGAUGCUGGUCCGUGUUUAUAGAUCUGCAAUGCAUGCAUAUGUGGUGUGUGGCUUUAAUUAUAAAAACUGAGACCUAAGGUCUAGAGGUUUAGCUGAGUUUGAUUUGUAAGAAUUCAGUCACUGCUUAAUGCUACAGGCUAGGCUCUUUGGUCAGUUUGAUAUUAAAACCGGCAGUGAUUCUAUUUAAAAAUAAAUCAGUCUGCUUUCGCAGACUGCUGGUAGAAAUGUAAAAUGAUGCAGCUACUACGGAAAAUCGUAUGGAGCUUCCUCGAAAAGCAGAAAAUAGAACCACCCUACCAUCCAACAGUUCCUCUGCUGGGUAUUUACCUGAAAGUAUCGAGAGCAGGAUCUUGAAGCAGUAUUUGCCCACUCGUGUUCAACUGUAGCCUUAUUCGCAAUAGCCAAGAGAUGGUAGCAAGCCGAGUGUCCAUCGACAGAUGAAUGGAUGAAGAAAAUGUAAUGCGUACAUGUUGUGGAGUAUUACUCUUCCUGGAAAGGGAUGGAAUCCUGUCAUAUUCCACAACAUGAAUGAAUCUUAAGGACAUUAUCCUGAGUGAAAGAGGCCAGUCACAGAAGUAAAAUAUUAUAGGAUCCCACUUCGAUGGGGUAUCUAGAGUGGUCAGAACUAGAAAUGGAAGCAGAAUGCUUCUUGCCUGGGGCUUUGGGGCCAGAGGAAUGGAGAGUGUUGUUUAACAGGUAUAGAGUGAAUUUUAUAAGAUGAAAAAUUUCUAGAGAUGUUACCUAACCAUGUCAAUACAGUUAACAUUAUAAAAAUGUAUACUUAAAAAUGGUAAAGAGAGUAAAUUUUAUAGUGUUUUUUUGCCGCCGUUUAGAAAUUGAAAAACAAACAAACACAAAUCUGUUUGGCUAGGUGUUUGGCACGUUGCCUGAUUUGGUGACAUACGUUGUGGGUGGGGGAAGGAGUUGAGUCCCAGAAGCAAGCUCAAAUCUCAGAUGCGGACCUUAGCCCGUUGACUUCGGUAGGCUGUCUCAUCUUCUGUAUGUAAUUUCUCUAUCUGAAAUUAAAGAAAAUUAAUGGUCACCUUAAAGCGUUGCUGCGAUGAUCAAGUUAAUGUUUAUAAACUGGGUUGGAAUGAAGUUGGCCAGAAAUAAGUCCCAGAUAUUGCUGGGAUCACUCAGAGGUCUAACUAGUGCCAAACUUCUAACCAAGGAAUUAUCGUUGUCGACAUUUCAUGCGUUUGUUAUAAGGUGGGAGCAAGAGUGGGUAUCAAAGGCUAACAAAAAGGUGAUCUCGCUGUACACAGCGCCUUAUCUUGAAGCAAGAUGGUAGCUUGCCCCCACAGUCCUGUGUUUGCUCUGCACGAGAAUCCUGAUCUUGGUGUUUCCAAAACUGUCCCGAUAACCUGAAUUUGAUUCCUGAAGCUCCUUGGUUUAGUGAUUCACUUACUCACUGCGUUUGUCCACCCAGCAAAUACUGAGGUGCCUGUUGUGGGACAGACACCGUGAGGUAGUAGAGCAAGACUGCAAGACACUGUCCCUACCCUCGUGAGGCCAAUGGGCAGUGUGUCCCCUGUCCUCUGACCUGAAGACGCCCCAAUGUAGGUGCUCAGCAGGAGAUCCAAGCUGCUCUUUCCUGAUAACUAUUGCCCCUGAUAACAGUGUCUGUACCUUAAAAGAAACAAGCUUUCUAGAGAGGAGGAGUGAAGAAUGAUGAAGUUUGACCUCUAGAGGACUGUCUGACUGGGCAAGUAAAUUGAACAGAGCCUUUUUUGAAUUGGCUUUGCAUUAUUUAAUAAGAAGCCAUAACCAGUAUGCUAGAGCUGCCGCUUUAAAUGGCAGAGGUCUUCCGCUCAUACAAGCCAUUUAAAGAGGUUGUAAGCAAUAAAACCGAAUCAGUGCUUAUGCCCCUUGAUUACCAUGGAGAGCUACAGGAUCAUCUUGAGUAGAGAGCAUUUUUAUGAAGAAAAAUGAGGAAUACUAGAGCCAAGCAGGAAAGAGGAGUUUGAAGGGAUAUACCCUGAUAUCUAACUAGGGUUUUAGUGGGUAAGUGGAUUAGAAAUUCACUUAUUUCCCCCUCAAUAAAAUCAUCCAUGCCCGACAAAAUUCCUUUUUGGUUAUUUUGCAUCGUUUACCGAACACUCACUUGCAGUUUUAAUACAGUGAGAGGAGAAAAGGGUAUCUGGGGAACUCGGGCCCCAGGUUUAUGGGGCAUCUAGUGGCACCAGGGUGAAGAAACAUAAAAACUCUUCUGGAUGAAAUGAUCAAGAUAGGGAAUAAUGUAGAAUGCAACUUUACAUGCUAUGCAAAUUCAAGAUGCAAUUUGGUUUCUCUGCCGAAAGGCCGUCCCAUUUUGAAUAAGAUGCAGACUCCUUUCUCCCAUCCAUUCAGUUUUAGCUGGAAUUUUCUUUUCUCCUGUGCUCUGUGAGUGGCGUGUGAACGUGAAGAAGACAGAAACAGAGCACAGAGAAGCCUGUCCUGCUUGUGUUGUUGUCUCACAGGGAGUGGGGGGAGGGUGGGAUGUCCGUUGGGCACAGGCUGAAUUCCUGGCAGACCGUAUGGAAGAAAGUGUAGUACAUACCCCAGAUAUGUAAACUAUUUUGUGUUCUUCUCAUCAAAGCUUCCCUUCUCUCUGGCUGAAAUGACUGAGUGGUGCUUGGGUGUGUGGGUGAAGGGAGGGAGCCAGCCGAAAUGUCAGAAAGCGCUGGGGACGAACCUAAAAACAGAAAACAAAAUUGUUCAUAAAUGCAAGUUUUAACUACUCAAGCCAGUAGCUCUUAGGAACAUAAAUAUUGUUAUCUACUGAUCCACCUCCUACCAGGCCUCACUCAGGUUGGGGCUACCUUGUACCAGCAACAGUCUACCCUGUUGUAUACAAGCCCCCAGGUUUAGAGACAGGAAAACAUCUCCGGAUUUCACGUUAGGGACUGGCACUCCCUGGGAUCUGGUUUGCUCCCUCUGUCCCCUGCGUGGGCUGCUGAGCUAUUAAAGGACUCAGAUUAAAGGCAGACUCUUAGAGCUCUUUUAUUUAAGCAAGUAAACAUGAAUUAUGGUCAGAGUAGUUUAGUUAGGACCUGAGCGAGGUCUUAGCAGCUGGAAAAGCAAGUGAGAGUGCAUUUUAUUUUACCUCAGUGACCUGAUCUUGAGUCUUAAGGGUGACUUGCAAGUCAAGUUGCGACCUUAGGCAAGUUCACCCUCUUGAGUCUCAGUUUCUGUGCCAGCACGGGUGAGGAGUUGUUCCAGAUGAUUUUACAAGCUCUCCCAUGUGGAAGGACAUUGGAUAUCGCACCUGUAAGAAUAAUUAGUUACUGUAAAAUUUAAGAUGGUUAUGUACAUUAGGUUGGUGUUACCAACCUAAGAGACCUCAGCCUCCAUCCCCCAGCAAAGAUCAGCAUUUAGGCAGCUAUCCACAAAGAAAAGCAGAGAGCUUAAGGAGUCUGCUUCAGAAUCUCCAGUGACUCACUGGUGGGGAGGUGGGGGGGGUCGGGGUGGGGGGAAGGGACCCUGAGAAUAAUUGCGUAAGAAGGGAAGGAAGACCAGCUUCAUUUUGCCUGCAUCGUCUGAGCCAACCUGGGAAUGCCUCAGCCUGAGAGAGCUUCCCUCACCAGGAAAGGGAGAGUCCGGCGAAAGGAAGGAACAAGGAAACGUAGGGGCUUCCAGGACCAGCCAUGUGGCAGGAGUGACUGGCUCCCAGUGACCUGCUUUGCAGAAGACCUUAGCAGCUUUCUCACUGCUGCGGGCCUCCUGUGGAUUUCCCUGGGUUUUAUUCACAUUCAAAGUCUCCAGACUCCUGAGUCCCUCCCUUCCCUGUCCCUGCCCAUACCCCACCCUCACCUACCUCCACCCCCUGCUGCUGGAGCCAGGGGUCCACACCAGCAGCCAGCCCAGGCCUCUGGGGCUGCACAGGUACAAGAUGGCAGCCUGGACCCCCUGUGGACCCCCAUCACCAUGUGUACACUGGGGCCAGCCCCUCCCCACACUGACCUGACCCCUACCCCAGGCUCCACUGCUGUCCACAUGUCUGUGGCAGAUCACAAUGAGACAGGGCCUUACAGCAGUUUGUGGGGCUGAAUUUGUCUCUGCUCCAGUCACUGGCUUUCCCCACUUGGCACACAUUCAAGGAACCUUCUAGCUGUGCACCUGUGUGCCCCAACCAGACCUUCAUUAGUGGCAUCCAAACAAGGUACACACCUGUUGGGGGGGGCACCCACAGCCAUAGGGGUGCACGCUAAGGGCAGGGCCCCCACAGCCGUUUGAGGGCUGGAUCUGGCCCUGUCUCCCAUCACUGGCCUGUGCCACUCAGCUCACCUAUGGCUGGUCUUUCAAGCUGUGUACCUGCCUGCCCCUUACCUGACCCCCCACGCUGGUCUCCUCUGCAGGGUGCCCACUGUGGGGAGGCCUGGCAGCCCCAGUAAGACACACGGACAACCACGGUCCCCACAGCCGCUGGUACACCUGCAGCUGGACCAGGCCUUUGGAGCUGGGCCUGGUCCCCCCACUCUGUGUAUGUUUGAAACCAGCCCCCGCCACUACCUAGACCCACAGCGGGCCCCUACUGCGGUGUGCACACCACCAGCUCCGGCCCCCAUCACUGCCCACCCCAGCCCCCAGCCACUGGCCCUGGAGGUGCCACUGAGGACCCCCCACAGUGCUCGCCAGGAACCACAGAGUUGUCAGUGUUGUGAACCUGAGUGGCCUGAGCAGAUGAGACAUCAUACACCUCUGGGACACACCGGCAUUUGGCACUCUACGCCCUAGGCCUGGGCUCAUGGCACAUUCCACCACAUCCCUACCCACAGGUGAAGGUCUUUCCAUAGCAAAGUCAACCCAUAAAGUCUGGAAGAGGUGACUGGUUCUUUAAAUGUGCAGAUAUCUGUAUGCAAGGUUACGGGGAUCUUGAAGAAUCAGGACAACACAGUACCCCCAAAGGAACACAGUAAACUUCUAGAAUGGACCCCGGAGAGAUGGCAAUACAGGAAUUGCCUGACAAAGGAUUCAAAAUAAUUGUUCUAAAGAUGCUCAGAGAGCUACAAGAAAACAUAGUAAAACAAUUUAAUGAAAUUAGGAGCAAAAACAACAAGAACAAAAUGGAAAGAGAUAGAAAAUAUAAAAAUUAGAAAAUAGGAAAAGAUAAAAAAAGAAAAUCAAGCAGAAAUUUGGAGCUAAAGAAGACAGUAAUGGAACCAAAGACCACAAUAGAGUGUUCCAUUAGCAGACCAGACCAAGCAGAUGCAAAGGCCUUUGCACUUAUCUAGGCACAGGAGCAAAAGGGAAAAGAGUGAAAAGGAAUGACAAAAACCUGCAGGACUAAAAAGGCACCACUAUGUGAAAACAAUCUACCCAUUAUUGAGUCCCAGAAGGAGAAGAGCAACUUACUGAGGACUUAACAAAUUAAGUCCAGACAAAUUUGGAGAGUUGUAAGGGUCAGGAGGGGGAAGAAACUAGACAAAGAGGUGCCCCUGGGAACAGAAAUUGGAUUUUUUUAAGAAAAAAUAUUAAAGAAAAAGUAGCCAGUGGUUUUAUGCAAAAAAA
Molecule: long non-coding RNA, 5638 nt
Organism: Mustela erminea (ermine)
Lineage: Eukaryota; Metazoa; Chordata; Mammalia; Carnivora; Mustelidae
Exons: 2
Source: RefSeq, a predicted model, not a curated record